Oncorhynchus tshawytscha (Chinook salmon) is the source of this 377-nucleotide long non-coding RNA. NCBI's taxonomy places the organism in Eukaryota, Metazoa, Chordata, Actinopteri, Salmoniformes, Salmonidae. The record is from Ensembl.
UGGUACAGAAAUGAACUAGAUAUUAUGGUUCUCAGUAUACUGGUUGGACAGGUUGGUACAGAAAGGAACUAGUUAUUAUGGUUCUCAGUAUACUGGUUGGACAGGUUGGUACAGAAAUGAACUAGAUAUUAUGGUUCUCAGUAUACUGGUUGGACAGGUUGGUAUAGAAAGGAACUAGUUCUUAUGGUUCUCAGUAUACUGGUUGGACAGGUUGGUACAGAAAGGAACUAGUUAUUAUGGUUCUCAGUAUACUGGUUGGACAGGUUGGUACAGAAAUGAACUAGUUAUUAUGGUUCUCAGUAUACUGGUUGGACAGGUUGGUACAGAAAUGAACUAGAUAUUAUGGUUCUCAGUAUACUGGUUGGACAGGUUGGUAC